ACGGAUGAAGGUGGUACAUCUUCGUGGCGGGAAAAACAUGAAAACAAACAGGAUUUUUUAUUUUAUUUUAUUUUAUUAACAACAAAUCAAUACAGAAGUGUUUCAGUUACCUUUCUGCAAGCAGCACAAUGGUUCAAAUAGUUAAAACUUCAAGUGUGGAAGGACCUGGUCCUACUGAGUGGCUGCUGGUUGAACUCCAGGGGGAGAUGAUGUCCAGGUAGAACUCUGGAUUGGCUGGGAACCUGAUGGGAGAUCUGCUCUACAACAUGGCACUGGUGUACCUGUGCUCAUUGUAGGACACCACAUCCUCUAUGGGAAGGUGGUCAAACUGGAGAAGCCCUUCGCUGUCCUGAUGAAACACUCUGGCCUCCCACAGGGGGAGAAGGUUCCCAUGGAAAUCAACCAGCAGAACCCCACCACCUACUCUUAUUUCCGCCCUCAUCAAGAAGAAGCUCAUCUUCAAUACUCGCCCAAAGCCCAUCAUCACUAAUGUGCCCAAGAAAGUGUAGUGAAGUGCUUGGUCAUAUGCAUUAUAGGGCUCACUGUCGCAAAACACUUUUAACUGGAAAAAAAUGGACAAGUUCAGAUAGUCCCUGUUGUAGUCUGUUUUGUGCCUGUUGCAGUCUGUUUUCUUCCGUUUUGUGCCUGUUGCAGUCUGUUUUCUUCUGUUUUGUGCCUGUUGCAGUCUGUUUUCUUCUGUUUUGUGCCUGUUGCAGUCUGUUUUCUUCUGUUUUGUGCCUGUUGCAGUCUGUUUUCUUCUGUUUUGUGCCUGUUGCAGUCUGUUUUCUUCCGUUUUGUGCCUAACGACCUUGACCCUGGUCACCUCUAUGGGAGCAAAGGACAUGCCGCACUCUUAAUGACGCCAGACCCACAAGUAUGGAGCACCCAUUGCAAGACUGUACUUGGGACACACUCCUCUGGCUUGAGUGCUGGAAUUUGCUGGAAUUUGCUUAAUGCUGUGGUGUAUUAUUAAAAUAUCUUUAUUAUUGCACUUAUCAGAUGACAGGAUUUAGUAAUGUCUUGACAUGACAUUUGUACAGUGAUUACUUUCAGAUGGGGAAGAAAUCACCACAACAGUCGAAUGAGAAUAUUUUUUUAUUCAGAUAAAAAAUAAUUUUUUUUUCAACUGUUGUACAAGUCGGAAAAAUAACUGUUUUGAUUUGAAAUACAAAACCUUUUUCCAACAACAUGUCUUGCCUUCUAUAUUUAAACAUAAUGAAAUACAUAGGUGGUUACAAUACUUUAUUUUCAGCUAUUACAUACCAAUAAAAUGUGUAUUUUAUGUUUCAAUAGCCA
Molecule: long non-coding RNA, 1296 nt
Organism: Oncorhynchus kisutch (coho salmon)
Lineage: Eukaryota; Metazoa; Chordata; Actinopteri; Salmoniformes; Salmonidae
Exons: 4
Source: RefSeq, a predicted model, not a curated record